This 497-nucleotide ribosomal RNA is filed under the name uncultured bacterium. RNAcentral's name for it is "partial 16S ribosomal RNA". It matches the Rfam family "Bacterial small subunit ribosomal RNA", at positions 28 to 507 of the family's 1533-position model. The record is from RNAcentral.
GAUGAACGCUGGCGGCGUGCCUAAUACAUGCAAGUCGAGCGAACGGAUGAGAAGCUUGCUUCUCUGAUGUUAGCGGCGGACGGGUGAGUAACACGUGGAUAACCUACCUAUAAGACUGGGAUAACUUCGGGAAACCGGAGCUAAUACCGGAUAAUAUUUUGAACCGCAUGGUUCAAAAGUGAAAGACGGUCUUGCUGUCACUUAUAGAUGGAUCCGCGCUGCAUUAGCUAGUUGGUAAGGUAACGGCUUACCAAGGCAACGAUGCAUAGCCGACCUGAGAGGGUGAUCGGCCACACUGGAACUGAGACACGGUCCAGACUCCUACGGGAGGCAGCAGUAGGGAAUCUUCCGCAAUGGGCGAAAGCCUGACGGAGCAACGCCGCGUGAGUGAUGAAGGUCUUCGGAUCGUAAAACUCUGUUAUUAGGGAAGAACAUAUGUGUAAGUAACUGUGCACAUCUUGACGGUACCUAGUCAGAAAGCCACGGCUAACUACGUG